CGCGAAACCUCUGCAAUAGGCGAAAGCCUGACAGGGUUACUCUGAGUGAUUUCCGCUAAGGGGAUCUUUUGGCACCUCUAAAAAUGGUGCAGAAUAAGGGGUGGGCAAG
Molecule: ribosomal RNA, 109 nt
Filed under: uncultured archaeon
Lineage: Archaea
Description: partial 16S ribosomal RNA
Rfam family: Archaeal small subunit ribosomal RNA
Source: RNAcentral